GUAAAAAUUGAUUUUAAACAGCGGUUGACAUGCUUCGAAGUACGGUAAUGGAAUAUUUAGAAUUUUAUUGUCACGAAUUGCGCCAUGCGCGCGACACUUCUUUACCAUUUCGGAUAGUGUCUGGAACGCACGAACAAAACGCCGCUAUUCGGAUAUAACGAUGGAUUAUUUUGGACCAAACCAACAUUUGUUAUUGAAGUAGCAGUCCUGGGUGUGCAUUCUGAUGAAGACAACAAAAGGGUCCGGUGUGAACCCCUGGGUGCCCACCACAUGGCCAAGGGGCCCCACAAGGUUGAGUCCUUAGUCCCCUCCUGUAUUUCCUGUAUACCCACAACUGUGUGACCUCCGACUCCGUCAUCAAGUUCGCUGACGACACAACAGCAGUAGCCCUGAUUACCAACACUGAUGAGACAACCUACAGGGAGGAGGUAGGCACUCUGACGGCGUGGUGCCAGGUGAACAACCUCUCCCUCAAUGUUAACAAAACAAAGGACCUGAUUGUGGAAUACAGGAGGAACCAGGCUGGAUACGUCCCCAUCCUCAUCAACAGGGCUGCUGUGGAAAUGGUCAAUAACUUUAAAUUCCUCUGCAUAUACAUCUCGGAGAAGCUCAAAUGGUCUAACCACACAGACACCGUGAGGAAGAAGGCACAACAGCGACUCUUCAACCUCAGGAUACUUUAGAAAUUAGGCCUGUCCCCGAGGGCCCUCACAGUGUUCUACAGGAGCACCAUCGAGAG
Molecule: long non-coding RNA, 739 nt
Filed under: Salmo salar (Atlantic salmon)
Lineage: Eukaryota; Metazoa; Chordata; Actinopteri; Salmoniformes; Salmonidae
Description: lncRNA (ENSSSAG00000103298.1)
Source: RNAcentral